Molecule: long non-coding RNA, 7079 nt
Organism: Apis cerana (Asiatic honeybee)
Lineage: Eukaryota; Metazoa; Arthropoda; Insecta; Hymenoptera; Apidae
Source: RefSeq, a predicted model, not a curated record
UCUAUAAAAUAGUACGCGUGUCUAUAAAAGAGCAGACUCUCACAAUGUCACAGCAGGUAAUUGUGUCCGACGGUCAGAGCAUGAUGUGGUGUUAGAAUAAAACUAUCUAUUUAUCGUAUCUGACAUAUUCACAAUAAGAUUUUCUUUAGAAGUAACAAUAAAUAUCAUAGUAAUCAUGUCUGACGAUCAGAGCAUGAUGUUUAUAAAUUAUCUAAUUGUUCUUUUCGGCAAAUUCUUUUUACCAGUGAAAUCUUGUAUCCUUAAAAAAUCCCUUUCUAAUUCAAUUUCAGUUUUCCGAUGGGGCUUACUAAUAACCAAUAAUAUUGCGAUCAUUGCCUGACUCGCGAUACUCUCACAUUCGAGGAAAACUCGAACUAGAAUGAUAUUGGUUACCGUUAAACCAACUAUGUUUGGAAUAUGUAAUAUGUAUGUAUAUGGAAUAUCUUUGAGAUCGGAUUCCAUUUUAAAAAGUGUGUCAAAAAUGUACAAUUAUAAGCGACUAAACUCUCAAAAAUAACAGUCUUCUCAAAUAACAUCAUUCCUUGUUUAAAUUUAAUAAAAGUGUACGAUAACAAUAAAAAAGGACUUUUAUGAGGAAUUUCUUCAAUAAACUGUUUAUAAAUUUCGCGAGCAAUAAGUGCUCGCGAACAAUUAAUGAAAAUCUUUCGAUACAGUAUAUUGAAUACUAUUUUGAAUACAUAUGUAGAUAAUAUAUAUCAUGUAUAACAUUAUACUACUAGUUAAAAGAUUGUUAUGAAUUUUAUAAAAUUUACAAAUUUUAUUAAAAUAUAUAUAUUGAUUGUAAUUGAAUGUGAUAUCAUAAAGUAUUGAAAAAAUAGCAUUAAUGUGAAGUGAAAUGAAGAAAAAGAAAAUUAUAGAAAUUAUGAAAUUAAAAUUAUAAAUUACAAUAAAAAAAUUUAAUAAAUGACUCAGGAAAGUAUUAAUUAAAAGUAUUUUUGAUAAAGUAUUUAUGUGUUUUGAUUAAGAUUGAAAUGAAUCUUAUUCAUUUUGCAGUGAUAAAUUUGUAACAUUAUUUUGAUUAAUGCUGAAAAACGGUAGCAGAGUACGAAAUUGGUUGGCUUAUGUUAAGACAGUUUCAACUACGGGCAUGAAAGCAUAUAAUCUGACAAAUUAUCAAAAGAAGAAAUGAAUAAAUAUGAAUUAAAAUAUCUUUCAAAAUUUACUGAAAGUAAAUGAGAAUCAAAUAAAUUACAAAUCAUAUAAAAGUAUUAUCGCCAGAAGAUGAUAAAAACAUCAUGAAUGGAAAAAUUUCAUCAUUAAAUGAGAACUAUAAGAAUUGAUUAAAUAUCCAAUAAAUAUAACAUUUAUAAAUAAUCCAUGAAUAUUUGAAGACAAAAUAAGAUCAAAAUAGAUCAGCUAAUUAUUACGAAAUUAAAGUGUUAGCGAAAAGAAUUUGAUUAUUGAUUAUCAGAAAACUAUUAGUUCAAUAGCUCUAUUCAAUAUUAUGAGAACAAUAAUAAAUAUGACUUCAGAAAAAUUGAAAUUAAUAGUUCAACAUUAAAACAUACUAAUAUAGAAAAUUAACAAAAGAAAAUGUAUAUAUGAUAAAGAAAAGUAUAAUAAAGUAAUACAGAAAAAUGAUCUUUAUAGUUGAAGCAGAGAUGUGAUAAUGUUUUCAGAAAAUUCAUAUAAAUGAAAAGAAUGGCAUAAUCUAAAUACAGUCGAUUCUUUCUUAUUUCUAAGAAUUAGAAAUAAAAAAAAACUUUUUAUUAUGAAUAUGUGGAUAAUAAAUUAAUAUCAGAUAAAAUAACUAAAUUUCUGAAAUCUUAAAAAUGAAUUUAUAAUUAUUAUCAAAUUAUUGAAUAAUCUGAAUUAUCUGAAUAUUAAGAUCACAUAUUUGAACAUUGGAUAAAUUUUCAUUUAUCAAUUAGCAUAUAUUUAAAAAGUUUUAUAAAAAUUUAAUAUAUGAGAGUAUAAUAAUAUUAAUAUUAUAUUGCCUUGUAAAAAUUGAAAUAUUAUAAUAAAAAAUAUAAUAUUAUAAUAAUAUAAUAAAAAAUAAAAAAUAUAAGGAUAAAAAUAUUAAAAAUGAAUUAUCGUAUCAUAAAAUUGUAGGAAGCUUUAUAUAUAUUAAUUGAUAUAUGAUAAUUAGAUAUUUGAUUUAUGAUGUCGAAAAUAGAUAGCUUCAAAUUGAUAGUGAAAAGAAUAAUGAUAUCAUUUCAUCAAAAUAUCUUAUCUUUACAUAAGUUCAGAAAAUUGAAAAGAUUUAUGGAGAUGUUGAUAUGGAGAAGAUGUAAUGAUUAAAUGUUCAAGAAUAUUUGUAAAUAUGCUGAAAAUGUAAUUAUAUGAAAUAGUAAAAAAAAUUAUAUCAUUUGAUCAACAACUGAAACUGAAUAUAUCUCAAAAUCAAUGUAAUAUCAAGUCAAAAUAAUAUAGUUAAAAAAACUUGAUAAAAUUGAAAUAAUUAGAGAAAAUUUUUAAAAUAUAACACAAAUACAAUUAAAUUUAUAAAGAAGUUAUAAAGUUUCAAAAGUGAAAAAAAUUAAAUAUACAUUGAAAUUCAUUUUUAUUUUAUAAAGCAAAAUUACAAAAAAAGAAAAGAAAAUACAUAUUCAACAUAUCGAGAAUAUAAAACAGGAAACAGUUAUUUUUUAUUAAAUGCUUACUUUGUAUACGGUUCAAUUAUCUAAGAGAAAAAAUUGAAAUGGUUAAAAGAGAAUUAAUUGAUACUACAGAUCAAUUUUUUGAUAAAAUUGUAAUAAAAUUCUCAAGUCUAAAGAAAGUUUCUUUAUUAAAAUUAGGCUUGAGAUAAAUGUCGCAUAAAGGCAAGUAUUCAAUUGUUAUAAAUCUCAAAAAUAGAAUGUUGAUAUUAAUAACCAUAACUGAAAUAUAUCAUCAAAAUCACAUUGCACUCUGUCAGAUUGAAGUGUUUUAAUAUUAGAACUAUCAGAAAUGGAUAUAUACGUAUUUUUACUGGUAUAAUUAUGAUAGAAAAAUAUUUAAAAAAAAAAAUUUCUAAAAGAAUAAUAAAACCAGUCAUUUUGACUGAUCCAGUAGUGUUAAUCCAGUUCUAGUGUUAAAAAAUAUUUAAUUCCAAAUAUUAUCCUCAAAAAUGGAUACGACUAAUUCGCCAAGAUGGAGUUAUAUUAAAUGUCUUGUGGGCUGCAAUAGCCUUCGAGUCUUGAUAAUUCCCCUGUUUGGAUUUUGAUUUUACAUGUCUUCGGAAUAAGAUUAUAUUAAUUGUUUGACUCAAAUUCAAGAUAUCUAGUCUAUGAAAAAACUGAUGAUGAUUCUUCUAAAGAAAAAAUGAAAAAGAGAAGAAGAAAGAAGGUUUACAGAUGAGACAUUUUCUUAUCGGUUCAUUUGCUUAUUAUAUGAAAGUAUUUUGAACGAUCAUCAUUUCCCGCUUUUUCAAUUACUUGUCUCGACAGAAUUUUGAUCUGACAAGAAGAGAUUCCUUAUUUGAAAAUUCAAAAAAUUAUGAAAUUUUGAAGAUAUAUAAGUAUGUAUUAUGCAUUUAUUUUGCCAAAAUUACCUUAAGAAAGUGAAAUCAAUUCAAAAUUCAUUUUUCGACUUAUUAACUCGCAAACUUCAAAAAAUAUAAAAAAAAUUUUCAAAUAAAAGUUGUUUUUUUUUAUAAGAACUAUCAUCUAAUAAAACAUUUAUUAAUUGUUUACACAAAUUAUUAAUUUUUUAAAAAAUUGUUUUUCAUUGUAAAAUUUUAAUCGAUAUAAAUAUGCGAUGGUAUAAAAAAAUAGAAUAAAUACUUUUUGUUUUUAAUACAACUUUGUUGUGUUGCUAUUUUAUUAAAAUUUUCAAAAGAAAAAUUUUCAAUAGAAAAAUUUAUAUUAUAUAUUUUUGAUUUUUAUUAAAUAUUAGAUCAAUAUAUUAAAUGAGAAAAAACAACUUAUAAACUAACUUGUAUAAAAUCUUUUUAUUUUUAAUGUCAUCAAAUUUCUUUAUUUUUUUAUUUUUUUCUCUUUAUCAAAUAAUAAAGAGACGAAUAAAUGACGAAAAUUGAUUAUAAAUAAGAGAUUAUAAUUUAAUGAUAUUAUUUCAUGCAUGUAGAUUAAUAUCAUAAUUAUAUAAUACAUUAUAUAAUAAAAUUGGAAAAUUUCAUUAUAUCAAGCACAUUAUAUAUUAUUUCUUUUCUUGAUAUAUUGCAAAUAUUUCUAUAUUCUAUAUUAGAUGGUAUAUUAUUUAAUAUCUGAUUUAAUAUCUAUUUAAUAUCUGAUAUAUUAUUUAAUAGCUGAAUCAAUCAAAUAAUAAAGCAUCCCAUAUUCGGUAAAUAAAUAUUUAUUAAUUCAUUAAACAACUCUUUAGUUAACUUUUAAAAUGAACGCCAUUAUAUAAAUGUUCCAUAGUCGAUGCAUUCCAUAUUCUACGCGUAGAACCAACCAAAAUAAAAAGUUUGUUCCUUUAGAACAAUAAAAAGAAGAAAUUUUCAGGAAGCUAAUAUUGUAAAGUAUAAUAUGCAUAUAAUUAUGUAAGUAGCUACAAAUUAUAUUAUUGUUGUAAUAUAUUUAUUCUUUUGAUAAUAUAUACAAAAUAUAUACAAAAAAAAAUAAAGAUUUUUGAUAACUAUAUUAAAAAUAAUUUUUAAUUGUAUAAAAAAAUUAAUAAAUAUUUCAAUAAGUGAUAAUUCUUAUGAAAUAAUUUUUAUCUAAAAAUUUUUUUUUAUAUUUUUUAUAAUUUACAAGUUAUAAUGUAAAAUCAAAAAAUAGCCAAAUUUUCAAAAGUUGAUCUUCUUAAAGUGAUUUUAAACAAUAAAAAAAAAUUGCAUAAUAUACAUCUACAUAAGCAUUAAAUAUUCAAAGUUCAUAAUUUUUUGAAUUUUCAAUCUUUCUUUGUGAGUAUCAGUAUAAUUCCCGUGAAUGACACGAUCAAAAUUCUCUCAUUUCACAAAAUGACGUUAUUUUAGCUAGGUAUUGUUAAUACUUUCAAUUCUCUAUUCUGCAAGAAAAUAGAGGAGAACACUAUCAUAUUAUAAAUUCGCUAUGUGAAACAGGCAAUUAGCUUUAGAAGAGAUUUAAAAGUAUAGAGUAUUAAUAGAAUAUAUAAUAAAUUAAUAUUAAUAAUAGACAUAUGAGAAGAAUUCGUUGAUGUCACAUAAAGAUUAAUCUUAAACUUUUCAUGGGACAUAAUGUACAAUGUGGCAUUCCGGUAUCAAUAAAUUUGCUAUGUUGACAACACGUUGGCAUUGAUCAGUGAUAGGAAAUAGAAUGAAUUAUUUAUUUUGCAGAAACCGAUGUGGUUUCUAUGUUUUCCGUUGUCCAACUGGGACUGGAAAUGGGAACACUCCUAAGAUUCUAUAAUUUUAUUCCAAAAGAUUUCAGUUAACAUGUUCAUUUCUAGUUAUAUUUCUAGUUAUUUAGAGUACAUCUAGAAAUAUAAUGAAAUACUUCAAUUUCUUUCUAAACAGUUUCUGACGUUUCAAUAUCUUUGAUCUCCUAUUUUAUGCUAAUUAGAAAACACGACAUCAUUUAAUUCAAUCGUCAUUCAAUCCUCUGCUGUUCAACUUAGAACUACAUGAGAAAGAUCGCUAUUUAUAAUAUAUAUUAGAAAUUCUGCAAAAUUAUAGUUUUAUGCUUUUAUGCUAUAUCUCAUAUAAAUUAAUAAUGAUAGAAAUAUCAAUAAAAAAUUUUUACAGUAUAUUGAAUUCUGCUUAUACAUGAAUCAGUGUUUAGAUUCGAGAAAUACGAAAAUAAAAUAUAAAACAAAUCUUGAGCAACUAUGAUUAUAACGAUAAAUUAUAACGAUAGAUAUCAAAUUGAUAUUAAUAUUUAUUGUAAUUUCAAGAUUUUUUAAUUCUUUCAAAUAUACGGAAUGCAUAAUCUUGAUAUUAGAUUUGAACCUAUUAUAAUCUAUAAAAAAAAUAGUUUUUUGAUCGGUCUAUACUUUUGAUUGUUAUAUACUUGAAUGCUGCCUAUUAUGUGUUUUUAAAAACAAUAAAAGAUUAUAUCUAAUCUAUUAUUCUGAUGCAUAUAUUGCAUAUAAUUCAAUGUAUGAUACCAAAAAAAUUUUUUAUAUUAUAAUAUCUCUAAAAAACUCGAAAUUAAAAUUUUACAUUCGAAACUUUUUCCUCCUUCUUUUUUCUUUUCAAAAUUUCAAUUUCAAUUUGGUUAAGAGAUGCAUACUAUGUUUUAUUUAAAUUUUCUAAUCUCUCCCGAUUUAUAUUUAUCAUUUCUUAAUUUUUUUGGAUCAUAUAUGGAUUCAUAAAUUGGAACAUUUUACUAUUUCAAAUGUAUUUUUGAAAUUCUUUAUCAUAAUUAAAUUAUCUUUUUUAUAUUUUUUCUUAUCGAUAUAUCUCUUAUUAUAUUCCUGUGUUUUUAUGCAAUUUGAUACUUUCUCAUAUAACAAUUUAAAAUUAUAAUCAUAUUUUUUUUAUAAUUUUGAAAAAAAAUAUUAAUUACAUAAAUUUCUUUUGUAUUAUAUUUUUAUUUAUCCUAUUAUCUAUAUUGAUAAUUUUAUGUUAUAGUGAACAAAUUAUUAAAAAAAAUUAGCCUUUGAUUUCGUAUUAUGUAGAAGUUUGGGAUCUGUAAGUUGAUUUUGCUCAACAUAUGCAUCGAUUGCACAUUUGUAUUUACUGACUCAUUUCAUUGGAUUGAAUAUAGAUUGAAUUAGAAUUUUAAGUUCAAAUAUUAUCAAAUUAUAAAAAUAAAAAUUAAUCAAAUUAAAUUACAAACAGGUAUGGUUUAUUAUUAUUAAAAAUUUUAAUUAAUCCCUAGAAUAAAAUAUUUAUUAUACAAAAUUAUAUUCAAUUAUAUCAAAAUCAUAUAUAUCAAAAUACAGAAUAUGAUUAUACAAGACUAUAUAAGACUAUAUAAGAUUACAAAAUUAUACAUUUGUAAAUUGGAAGAAUAACAACAUAUUAAUCUACAGAUGAUUAUCAAUGUAUAUCAGAAAUGAUCAAAUAAGGAAAAAGUUGAAAAAGUUAAUCAUAAUUGAAAAAAUUACUAAAACGCGACAUAAUAUAAAGAAAAAAUUAAAAAUUAUUCUAAUCAAAUAUUUAAUAUAAACAACAUAUAUACUACAGGAAUUCCAACAAAACUUAAAAAAUAUUUCUCAUCUUUAUGUUUUAAAUGUAGAUCUCAUACAUCUAAUAAAUACACGAAGUAAUU